RNAcentral lists this long non-coding RNA (208 nucleotides) under Mytilus galloprovincialis (Mediterranean mussel). The record is from RNAcentral. Lineage: Eukaryota; Metazoa; Mollusca; Bivalvia; Mytilida; Mytilidae.
GUUGAUUGUAGCUAUGGUGAUGAUGGAAGAGGUCAAAGGUAGACAACUGACACGAGACUGUCUCGACAUCUGUCGCCGAAGAAUGGACAGAUGCAAAUCAAAUUGUAAUCAGGACUUCAAGAACAAAAACAAAAAGAAGAAGUGCAAGAACGUCUGCAGGAAAUCUGAUAAGCAAUGUAAAAAGUUCUGCCGCAACGACGACCCGACC